Monodelphis domestica (gray short-tailed opossum) is the source of this 72-nucleotide small nuclear RNA. Its record names the gene U2. It matches the Rfam family "U2 spliceosomal RNA". From Rfam's summary of the family: U2 is a small nuclear RNA (snRNA) component of the spliceosome (involved in pre-mRNA splicing). Complementary binding between U2 snRNA (in an area lying towards the 5' end but 3' to hairpin I) and the branchpoint sequence (BPS) of the intron results the bulging out of an unpaired adenosine, on the BPS, which initiates a nucleophilic attack at the intronic 5' splice site, thus starting the first of two transesterification reactions that mediate splicing. NCBI's taxonomy places the organism in Eukaryota, Metazoa, Chordata, Mammalia, Didelphimorphia, Didelphidae. The record is from Ensembl.
AUCGCUUCUCGGCCUUUUGGCUAAGAUCAAGUGUAGUAACUCUUACCUUCUGUCUUUAAAUCAAUACUGUUU